This 344-nucleotide unclassified non-coding RNA is filed under the name Zanthoxylum davyi. RNAcentral describes it as "partial external transcribed spacer". Lineage: Eukaryota; Viridiplantae; Streptophyta; Magnoliopsida; Sapindales; Rutaceae. The record is from RNAcentral.
GGUAUCCUGUGUUKCUUNCCUNCGGAGAAGAAUUCGNCGGCUUAARUKUYCCCAUYCSCCUUGCMCCCCCGAAAGGUGCGGUGCGGGGCGGACCUGAGGCGGGCUCCGUGUUCCCCGCGUGCCGGGUGCGUUUGCGCUCGGUCGCUGUGGGCCGCGGGGUCUCCGCCCGUGCUCUCGGAUGUGGAACGCUGUGCGUGCGGGCGUGGGGGGUCUCGGCCCCCGCUCGUCCGAGCGGCACUCCGCWUUGUCCCUUGACGCGAACGACGGCCGUGCCCGUCUUGACCGGCCGAUCGGGCCCCCGCCGCGGGGCUCCGUUAGGGCGGCUCAUGCGGGCGUCGGSGUCG